RNAcentral lists this long non-coding RNA (659 nucleotides) under Prunus dulcis (almond). RNAcentral describes it as "sRNA ncRNA". The record is from RNAcentral. Lineage: Eukaryota; Viridiplantae; Streptophyta; Magnoliopsida; Rosales; Rosaceae.
AGCCUGUACUGUUUUAGAUCCAUCGGAGGACUAUUGAAGUCUCAAGUUCAUUAGCAAUGGGUAGUUUUAGUUUCAGUUUGAAGUCUUUAACCCUUUUUGCUUUGCUUGUUUCAAGUGUUGUCCUGUCCGAAAGCCGGGUGGCAAGAAAGGACCUGGGGAUAGACCUUGGUGGGAUUGGGGUUGGAGUGGGAGCUGGAUUAGGGAUUGGGCUCGGUGGGAGUGGAGCUGGCUCAGGUGCUGGAUCGGGGUCCGGGUCUAGCUCUAGCUCCAGCUCUAGCUCAAGCUCAUCUUCUUCGUCGAGAUCCAAUGGGUCGGGCUCUUCCGAAGCAGGUUCGUCUGCUGGUUCAUAUGCCGGGUCUAGGGCUGGGUCAGGCUCAGGAAACCGAGGGCGUGGAUAAGAGGCUCUAGCCAUGCAUGCAUGGAACUGUAGCUCGUGGCAUGAGAUUAGUGACAAGUUUCACCUUAUUCAGCUAAAAAUGUAUGAAAUUAUGAAUUUCAAUAAAUAAUGAAGUAGAUGGUGCUAUCAAAAAAGAAGGUGGUGGUGAGUGUGAUUGUCUGUAAUAUGUUGUACCUUUCUUAGAGUGUGUGUCAAUAAAAGAAUUGGCCAUGUCUUUGCAUAUUUCUUCCAUUAACUAUCCCUAUCAUGUUCUUUUCUGGUG